RNAcentral lists this long non-coding RNA (16864 nucleotides) under Olea europaea subsp. europaea. The record is from RNAcentral. Lineage: Eukaryota; Viridiplantae; Streptophyta; Magnoliopsida; Lamiales; Oleaceae.
GUUUUCUCUAAAUUCCAGCUUGCUGUAUUCAUCAAGAAUAUUGAGUCGGUGUGCCUGGAAACUGAAUUGGGUAUGGCUUAUGCUGCUCUACUUCCACUUGCUCAAACACUAGAACAGAUCCUGGGUUCGUGCCCCGAAGAGAAACAGAUCAAAUCUCUCCAUGAAAAGCUUAGCUUCUUGCUAUCAUUUCUGGACAACUCUUCACCCAAAAAUACUGAAUCAAUGACACGUUUGGAAGCAAGAAUCAGAGAUGCAACAUAUGAAGCAGAAGAUGUUGACCUCGCAAAUUGGACCCACCAUGUGGUCAAUUGAUAGCUACUCCACGUAUUCCUCCCUGUGCACAAUCAACGCACGGUCAGAUGCAUACGGCCGGACCAGCAGGGGUGGCGGCGGCCGCAUACACUCCGACAGUCAAGUUAGCUCCAGAUGAUCGGAAUAGUACCAAGGUUGUGGAAAAGGGUGGGGAGGAGAAUAUAUAUUUACUUGUUAUGGAGAGCUAAGUUGUAACAUAUUCAUUACCUUUACCUCUUGUCAAACCUUGGGUAUUUAUAGUUGAGGAGAAUCAUUGGAUGUGGGACACAUGUAUCUGACAAUGUGAGGCGUCUGCUCAUAGGCGUCAAUCAGUCGCGUCUAUAGAGUGGGCGGGUGAUUACUUCUCCCGGGUUGAGUUGACAUAAAGUUGAUAUGUCACAUCAACUAAACUCAUGGAGACGUCAAAUCAAUUAAACUUUGGGGGCAAAAAAGAUCUUGACACAGAUCUCUUCCUGAAAUUGGCGGCGGAUCCUCUGACAGAGAACCUCGGAAUGUACUGCGCCUCAACUUCAGGGCGAGAAUGCUUCGGUCGGUUCGGUAGAUUGUCUGUACCUCAAAGUGCAUUAGCAAAUCGACAACAUUGGUGGUGGCGUCACUUCAGAACCACUUUGCGUGGGUGUUGAACACCUCGCAUAACGCGGUGGUAGACUUUUCGAAGUGGUUCAGAUAGGGACGUGACAGUGGUCCCCCCAAGUUCAGGCAUGAAUAUUUAUAUCAUGGAUGGACUUGUUUUCCCGAUAGUGUAUGUCUGCCUCGGGAUAGGGACUGUGAUUUGUGAGAACUUGUGGGUCGAUUUUAUGUGUUCACCGAAGUGUUGACCUUAGGCAGACGCGCUAAAGCUUCAUUAUUGCGUAAGGAAAGAAAUUAUCCGAGAUUGAUGUGCUGCCAACUGGACGAUGCGUUGGGAGACGACCAAAGUUUUGAAAAGCUUAGGAGGAAAUGCAGUUACCGAGGCGAUGACCCACUGGGGACUCCGCGUCAGGUACGUCUAAAUUUUGUAAAGUUGAGUAAGGAGCUCAUUUGCCACCGGUGCGCUGACCCAUAGGGGACUCCGCAUCAGGUGCAUCUAAGCUUCGUAAAACUGAGUGAGGAGCUCAUCUGCCACUCGUGCACUGACCCACAGGGUACGAUGCGUUGGGAGAUGGCUAAAACUUUGUAAAGCUUAGGAGGAAACGCAACUACGGAGGCGAUAACUCGCAGGGGACUCCAUGUUAGGUGCGUCUAAACUUUGUAAAGCUGAGUGAGGAGCUCAUCUGCCACCGGUGCGCUGACCCACAGGGGACGACGCGUUGGGAGAUGGCUAAAGUUUUGUAAAGCUUAGGAGAAAAUGUAGCUACUGAGGCGAUGACCCGUAGAGGAUUCCGCGUCAGGUGCGUCUAAGCUUUGUAAAGCUAAGUAAGGAGCUCAUCUACCACCGGUGCACUGACCCACAGGGGACGACGCGUUGGGAGAUAGCUAAAGCUUUGUAAAUCUUAGAAGGAAACACAACUACCGAAGUGAUGACCCACAGGGAACUCUGUGUCAGGUGCGUCUAAGCUUUGUAAAGCUGAAUGAGGAGCUCAUCUGCAACCGAUGCGUUGACCUACAGGGGAUGAAGCGUUGGGAGAUUGCUAAAGCUUUGUAAAGUUUAGGAGAAAACGUAGCUACCGAGGCGAUGAUCCACAAGGGACUCCGCGUCAGGUACAUCUAGGCUUUGUAAAGCUGAGUGAAGAGCUCGAUCUGAGAGGGGCAUUUCUGACGUUAAAUGAUUUGACAGCUGUUGCGUAUUUUCAAGCCGAUAGUUGGGUGCGAUGCCCAUUCCCCUAAAAGGCUGCUGUAGCUAGUUAUUGUAGACGACUGGUGGUGAUCGAGGUGACACGUUCUACCUGAGCGUGAAGGACACAACUAGAUCCUGGUUGUAGAUCAAAUCUGACGUUUCAUGUCAACAGCCUAGAUUGAUGAUGCAACUGACGGCCCAGAUUGAUUGCAUUUGAAUUCAAUGGUGAAGAUCAGUUGGGAUGUCCUAUAAAAGGUGGACUUGAGCAUUUGGGGAGGUUUUUACUUUUGCGAAAUCAGAAACUCCAUUUGCUCUCAAAACUCUUGCAUUUUCUGGCGAAAACUCUAGUUUUCGGCGACUCUACAGCGUGCCCUGACCAUUUUCGGUUGUGGAACCCUCAUUUCGUGAGUUUCUGUAAGUAUUUGAAACCUUUUCAUUUCUGAAAAAUGGCUUCUGAGGGUAGUGGUAGCUCGGGGAGGGGGUUGGAACUAGUGCGGAUGGACGAGCCCAUUCUGGAGACCUCCUCCGAAAUAGCCGAAGCGAUAGUUGGGGGGAGAAUAUGGAGGAGGCCAGAUAGCCCUGUAGACACAUCUGUACAUUAGGAAGUGUCAGGUUACCCCUCUAAGCUAAAGGGUGCCGACCUGGAAAGACUUAGGGGUGAAUAUAGGAUCCCUGAUAGCAUAGAUCUGAUCCUGCCCGAAGCUGAUGAACAGGCCUACUACCCUAGGCCAGGGUGCGUAGCAAUUAGCAAGGCCAUUCUUAGAGCUGGCCUUAGGCUUCCGAUCCACCCAUUCUUCCGUAUGGUACUUAGGUCAUAUGGCUUAGCUCCUACCCAACUAAACCCGAACUCAUGGAGCCGAAUGGUGGGCUCCUGGAUGUUGUGGAAAGAGGCGUCGCUUGGGGUAGAGAUGCCCUUCUCUAUUUUUCAGACCCUCUAUAUUCUCAAGGUGGCGGCUGGGGGGGGGGGAUAAGACCAGGGGCUGGUAUUACCUAACCUCAUGGGGUUCCCACACUGCAUUCGUGCUUAAUCUCCCGAGCUCGAUUAAGGAGUGGAAGAGCUCGUGGUUCUGGGCUAUCGGCAGAUGGGACACGAUGGAGGGGACCCCCUGGCACCUUUUACAGUCCCCACGAAGUAUUCAACACUUAGUGAGUACUAUUGUUUUGCGUUUUCCUUUGUUCGUCUUCGGUUCAGAUCAUAACUAAUAUUUGUGCUCUUUUGAACGCAUUCUUCCUCGGUGUAAGUGUUCCACUGACAACUUCAACAUUAUCUGCAUUAUCUAUCAGCUGCAUCCGAAGAAGAGGUCAUACCACCAGCUGAUCAGGAAAAACAUUCACUUCGUGAUGCACGACUUGAUGGCCUCUCAAUGUAAGUGUCUCGAACCGAAUGCCUUUUAGUACUUUUCGAACUCUUUACACUUGUACUAAUUUGCUUGUUCCCUUGCAGAUAACAUUAACAAGAAGCUGCCUCUGAGGCCAGACUUCAAAACAAUUCAGAAGACGAUGGCAGAGGCGAGAGCCCUGAAGACCUCCCCCUCGGCAUACAAAAAGUAAAUGGAGGAUCUGGUAGACGCUAGCAAAAGGCUCCAGCCUCCAACUGAGGAGAAGGUGGCGGAGGACCCAGACGCAAACCUGCUGCAGAAGGGUAAGAAGCCUAUUACCCCCAUUGAAGUGCCCAACUGUGGUGAGGCUGCCUCCGGUCCUGAGGCAGACUACCAUUCCUACCGGGGUAGCCAUCCUGGAGAGGAUGCCUACACCAUCAGAGGCUUCCCCUGCCCCAGCCACAUUACCAGUAGCCGCUGUGCCAAUUGUCCAAGUGCCAGAGCAGCCAAAGAGGAAAAGAGUCCAUCCCUCGAAUGAGGUGGACCUUUUGGGCACCAAUUCGGAGGAUCCAGUGAAAGAAGUGCUGGAGGCUCUUCUUCCUCAUAAUAAAUAUUGGACCAAAGAGUGGAGAGACCACACCGCCUCAUGCACCGGUGAGGACUUGGUUACGACGAACGGUGCCUGCGUGCCCGGGCUCUCAGCACGAGCAUCCAACUCAAAGGCUUGGUGAAAGACCUGAAUGCUAAGAGGGAAGACCUCGCUAAGUACCUCGAGGAGGCGAUGCAGUAUGGGGACACAGUGAGGGAGGCCCAGGCCAAGGCCUUGGAAAAGGAAAAGGCGAGGAAGGAAGCCGAGGCCCAGUUGGCCACCGCUAAGGGAGAAAUAGAGCGGCUGAAGAAUGAGCUCUACGAAGUGAAGUGCCAGGUGGCUGCUAUCACCAGAAGAGUGGAUCAUGCAAACGAGCACCAUCGGCUCACCACGGAGGCUCUGGAAGCCUCAAAUAAAGAAAAGGUGGAGCUAAGGUAGAGGGUGGAUGCCUAAGCUGAGGAGAUCGCCUCCCUAAGGGAGAAACUUAAGUCAACAGGGGAGGUGGCUGUACAGAACUUCAUCGACCACUUCGAAAAGCAUCCCCUGUAUGAUGAUUUUGCAAACUUUUGGGCCUCUUGGAAUGCCCAAUGACUAUUGGGUCGGUUGAAAGAGGUUCACCCCACUCUGGACAUAUCCUUAUUAGAGGCAGAGUUGGGUGGGCCUACUAGAGGGCAGCCUGAUAGGUUCGCAGAGGACACUCCAGAGGUCCCUGGGGCAGGCGAGAAGGAGGCUGGGGUGGAAGAUGCCACAGUAGAAUAGCUUUAAUCAAUCUUUGUAAUAGUUUCGGCCUCUUUUGUAAUCCGAUUCCAAAUGAAUGAAAUGAAAAUUUUUUCUAUUGUGCUGAGCUGUUUACACUUAAGUAUAUGAAUGACAACCACUUAAGUAAAUAUUAAGCGCCUCUUACUAAUAAUGAGUUAAUAACAGAAGAUCGGAUCAAUUAACAUAUUGAAGAACUGAGGUAACAAUUUACUAACCGAUGUGACAAACAGCUAAAGUAUCAUUACUUAGAGGUGUUACAUCACUCUUCACUAAGGCAUUUUCAGUACUUAGUAAGAUAUGGAAGUUACAAAUGAGAUUGGAUCAUGACACACAUUUACUAGACAACAUUGAGAUCGGAUCGGAACACAAGCUCAUCAUUGAUAGUACUUCCUCAAAUGUUCGAUGUUCAAUUGAUGAGGCAGUGCUUUCCCUGCCAUGUCUUCAAUUUCAAAAGUGCCAGGUCGGGAUUUCCUGCGGCUAUGGUAAGGACCCUUCCAAUUCGGUUCCAACAAUCUGGACCCGGUUGGCUUUGAUGAUUGGAAGACCCUUCUAAGGACGAGGUUUCCCAGAUAAAGAGUCCGAUUUCUGACCUUGGAGUUAUAAUAGUGGGUCAUCUUUUUAUGAUACUUUGCCAAGUUCACCUGGGAGGUAUCCCUCCUUUCUUCAAGGAGAUGGAGUUCAUUCAUUCGAGCCUCAUCGUUACUAAUCUCAUUGUAGUGUAUUCGAUGGUGCGAUGGGACUCCUACCUCAACUGGCCUCAUAGCCUUGGCUUUGUAGGUCAUUGAGAAGGGUGUCUCCCCUGUUGCAGUUCGGCUAGUUGCUCUGAUGGACCAGAGGACGUGGGAAAGCUCAUCGACCCAAGCCCCUUUUGAUGUGUCAAGCUUCCUUUUUAGGGUAUGCUUGAUAGUCUUGUUUACUGCCUCAACUUGCCCGUUUGCUUGUGGGUGAUGAGGCGUUGAGAAAUCCUUCUUUAUACCCAGUUCGUCGCAUAAGUCUCACAUUUUCUUGUUGUCGAACUGUCUCCCAUUGUCGGACACUAAAGAGUAGAAAAUGCCGAACCUGCAAAUGAUGUUCUUCCAGACGAAUUUUGUAGUAUUCACCUCGGUGAUCUUGGCAAGAGGUUCAGCUUCGACCCACUUACUGAAGUAGUCAAUGGUGACAAUGGCAAAAGUUGUGAUUCCUCUUCCUUUUGGGAGUGGACCAAUUAAAUCGAUGCCCCAUUUGGCGAAUUGCCAAGGGUUGGUUACUAUGGAGAGGCUCUGAGAAGGCCGCUUUUGAAUAUUUGAGAAGCGCUAGCACUUGUCACAUUUCUGGACAAACUGACAAGCAUCCCUUUCAGGGUCGGCCAGAAGUAAGCUUGUCAGAAUACUUUGUGUACCAGAGCCAUUCCUCCGGAGUGAUUCCCGUAGAUUCCCUCAUGGAUUUCCUUAAGUAUAUACAUGGCCUCUUCGCCUCCUAUACAUCGGAGAAGUGGCGAGGCAAAUCCUCUUUUGUAGAAGACAUCUUCUUGUAGGACGAAGUGUGCAGCCCUUCUUCUUAACUUUCUUGCCUCGCUUCUAGAAGCUAGUAAUGAAUGAUCCUUUAGAUAGGCGAUGAUGGGUUGCAUCCAUAAUAGGGUGCCUUCUAUCCAUAGUACCUCAUCACCUCCAGAUAUGGAGGGCUUCGACAAGUGUUCAAUGGGGACAACCUUUAGUAGCUCUGGAUCUUUGCUACUGGCCAGUUUUGACAGGGCAUCUGAAUGAGUAUUCUCUAAGAGUGGGACUUGAAUCAGCUCGAACCUUUCAAAAUGAGGAACUAGGUCCAGAACCAAUUUUAAGUAUGCAACCAUGCUACUGUCCUUUGCCACGAAGUUUCCAUUGACCUGACUCACUACAAGCUGAGAAUCAAUGUUUGCCUGGAGCCAUCUAACCUGUAUUUCCUUUGCAAGUCAAAGGCCUGCUAGAAGGGCCUCAUAUUCAGCAGCAUUGUUCGAGGCUUUGAAGCCAAACCUUACUGCGCAAUUUAGCUUGUGGUUUUCGGGGCUUUCCAAGAUGAUCCCUGCCCUGGAGCCUGACUCUCUUGAGGAUCCAUCUACGAACAGUUUCCACAUUAGGGGCUCAGCUAGUUCCAUUGUCGCCUCCAUUUCUGGGGCUUUGGCAAACUCAGCCACAAAAUCUUCAAGGCCUGGCCCUUGAUGGCAUGUCGAGGUCAGAACAGUAAGUCGAACUCAUUGAGCUCGAUCACCCAUUUUAGAAGGCAUCCUGAUGCGUCUAUUCUCUGUAGCACUUGCUUCAAUAGGAAGUUGGUGAGAACUUCAAUUGAGUGGGCCUGAAAGUAUGGCCUCAGUUUCCUUGAGGCUAUAAUGAGGGCAAGUGCCAGUUUCUCCAUAUCUAGGUAGUGUGUUUCAGCUGGGAUGAGUGCUUUACUGACAUAGUAUAUCGGCAACUAGUGCUCAUUCUCUUCUAUGAUGAGGACUGCACCAAUUGCCUUGUCUAAGACCACCAAGUACAGGAGCAGUGAUUCUUCUAGUUGAGGUUUGGACAACAGGGACACCUCUCCUAAGUGCUUCUUCAGUGCUUGGAAGGCUCUUUCGCACUCAGAAGUCCAUUGGAACUUCUUUCCUUGUUUCAACACAUUGAAGAAGGGUAAGCUCUUAUCUGUAGCCCUAGAGAUGAAGCGACUGAGUGCGGCUAUCCGACCAUUGAGGCUUUGGACCUUCUUUGGCUUCUGGGGUGACCUCAUUUCAAGCAAGGCCAUUAUCUUCACUGGGUUUGCUUCGAUUCCUCUUUGGUUUACAAUAUAUCCUAAAAACUGACCCGAAACCACUCCAAAGGUGUAUUUGAGGGAAUUCAACUUCAUUUUAUUUUUUUUAAGUAUCUAAAAGGUUUGGUCGACGUGACUCAUGUGUUCGUUUGCCUGGAGGCUUUUUACUAGCAUGUCGUCCACGUAGACCUCCAUGGUUUUGCCAUUGAGUUUGGCAAACAUCAUGUUGACUAACCUCUGAUAUGUAGCUCUGGCAUUUUUCAAUCUGAAGGGCAUGACUUUGUAGCAGUAUAGUCCUGUGUCUGUGAUGAAUGAUGUAUCCUCCUCAUCAGGUCGGAACAUGAGUAUCUUGUUGUACCCUGAGUAUGCAUCCAUGAAGCUCAAGAGUUUAUGUCCAGCGGUAGAAUCCACAAGUUGGUCUAUCCUUGGAAGUGGGAAGCUGUCUUUAGGGCAUGACUUAUUCAAGUUUGUGAAGUCUACGCACACCUUCCACUUUCUGUUGGGCUUCUUCACCAGGACCGGGUAGAUAUCCACUUCGGAUAGAUGGCUUCUCUGAUGAAGCCGUUGCGGCUAAGCUUGGCUACUUUGUCUUUGAGUGUCUCGUACCGCUCAGGGUUGAAGGCGCGUCUUUUUUGCCAAUGUGGGGGCAUAGGAGGAGUUGAUGUUAAGAUGAUGGCAACUAAUCCUUGGAUCUAUUCCCACCAUGUCUUCAUGCUUCCAAACGAAGACAUCUAAGUUCCUUUUCAGGAAGCUCACCAUUUCUUAUUUUGCUUCGGGAGAGAGUACCUUCCCUAUUCGCAAGACCUGACUGGGGUCCUAUAGGUUGGCGGAGAAAGUUUCAAGUUCUUUCAUUGGGGUUGCAUUGGCUCAGAGUCAAUUAUUCGGGGAUCUAACUCAUUAAGAGGGUGCUCUUCUUCAGGGGCCUCUUCCAUGUCAACGUCUUCUUCUUGUUCGGAGGUAUGCCCUUAUUCAGGGAUGUCGAGCAUUUCUAUAUCCAAAUUGGCCUCACUAGCAACUUCAAUUAUGAUCACGUUAACAGGUCGGGGCUCCGAUAUUCGUAGAGAGUUUAAGUAACAUGCCCUGGAGCCCAUUUGGUCGCCUCGGACCAUAGCAAUCCCAUGUUCAGUUGUGAAUUUCAUACACAAGUAGUGGAUGGAGGUGACAGCCCAAAGCUCUUUCAAGGCAGGCCUACCCAAUACUCCAUGGUAGGCCGAUCUGUGGUCUACCACCAAGAAUUCCAUGAAGUGUUGGGCCACUAAGGGAGCCGAACCCAACUCGACGGGCAGAGUGAUCUACCUUCAUGGGACGAUGCUGUCUCUAGUAAAUCCGAAUAGUGGGUCGGUCAUGGAGACUAGCCCAUGUUUAAUUUGCAUUUUGUCGAAGGUGGAGCCGAACAUUAUAUUCACCGAACUGCCAUUAUCGAUGAGCAUGCGUUUGAGUCCGCUUCUUGCCACUACGACUUUCACAACCAAUGCGUUACAAUGGGGGUGGUGAACUUCUUGUGCAUCUUCUUGGGAGAAGGUAAUUGGGGCCAUCCUUUGGCCUCUUGGGACUCGUUGACAAUGUAAGUGAGCAUUGAUAGGUCCUUUGCUUCCCUUGUGUAAUUCCUUUGGGCAUUCCUGAUAUUGCCACCGAUGUGAGGUCUUCCAAUGAUCGUGUCGAUCUCCCUGAUGAUUUGGCCUCCGGAAAAUGGGGCUUGAUCUCUCUAUCUGGACUCUCCUCGGUCCCUUCAUUCUCUUCUUCGGGGUGACUGCUCUCUAUGCCUUCUCUCUCCCCUGUUCGGGGAGGCAGAUCUACGAGGAUGUUUGUUCCUCCUGGAGGGAUGUGGGUCGCUCUGAUCCGGGCAUCGAUGAGCAUCUCUGCAGUUGCUAGUGUCAUGCCCAUAGAGUUGGUGGAAAGUGCAAAACCUUGCCCUUUCCAAGGGCCUAUUUGACUGCUUCUUCUUCUUCUUCUUAGUUCUUCCAGAUGGCCCUGCUUCACCAGGGAAAUUCUCGUAUGCCAACACCGGCAUUGCAUUUAGCGUGGCAGAAGUUAGUGCUUGUCUAGAGGUGAGAGCUAUUGUUUGACCUGCUUAAGUCUAUUGCUGAGUGACAUGGUACGCUGCGGGUCCUCGACCUACCUGCCUUUAAGGCGGAGGGAGUCCUCACGCAGCACGAUUUCGGGUGAUCAAUCACCUCUUCACUGACGAUCUCAGCUCUCAUCAUUUCUACUAGCUCAUCAUAAGUGGAGGGAUUUUUGCUACGCACAUCCCUCCAGAAGAAAGCGUUCAUGUUGAGGCCGCCUUUCAGAGUGGAAAGGGCUUCUCUGUAAGUGACCUGCUUGCAGUACGUGAUUUCAUCUAUAAACCUAGCGAGGUAGCUUUUCAGUGUCUUUUCAGAGGCCUGUCUCAUAUCUUGCAGACAUUGCACUGGGGCCUCUCCUUCUCUGCGUGAGACGUACUGGUUCAAGAAUGUCUUCUUCAAAUCUGGCCAACUCCUAAUGCUCAGGGGAGGAAGUCUGUUGUACCACACUUCAGCAGUUUCGCCCAGGGUUAGUUGGAAGGCUCUGCAAUUCAAAGCAAGCGAGGUUCCCUUGAGGGUCAUCUGUGUCAUGUACUUGGUAAGGUGCUUCUCGGGGUCCUUAGAGGGCAUGAAAUUCGCAGGCAUUAGGAAGCUUUAGAUUUCCCUUGAGAAAUGGAGGUUAUCAUCAUCAUCGUCAAUUUUAUAGGAUCGACAAGGCUCAUCUGACCCUUCAUCAUCUUGAAUGUUCUAGAGAGGUGGAGGUGCUUCUCAUUGACUACCCCAAUCAACUAAGUCCCUUCUCUCCUUUCUAUUUCUAGGAGGAGGAGGUGCUUGCUCUUGCUCCUGUUCUUGCCGAACUGAUCUUCGCACUAAGCAGACCCUAUUACUAGGUCCUGACCUAUUUGGUCGAAGACGCUGACUGACCUUUGUGCUUCAUAUUCUUGAGGAAAAUUGUCCCCCAAUUGUGGUUCUGCUGGCUGGCUCCCUUGCACAUAGGAUGUGGCUUCCGCACCCUUUCUCUUUCUAGGGGACGUUCUCUGUGCUGGCUCACAUGGCUUCGGGAACGAGAUGUAGGGGCUUCCUGAAUUGGGUAAUAUCCUUGGGGCAUUUGAGAGCCUUGGUGACCUCGGGCUUGCAUGAGAAGUUCAUGCAUCGUCAUAUUCUGGACUGCGAUAUCUCUCAUGCCCACAGCUAUUUGAGUCAUUCCUUCAAUGAGCAUGGAUGUUCGACGACGCCGGUGAUGGGGUCUCUGGUGAGUGACAUUGUUAUGGAUCACCUCUUCUUCAGAGGCCUCUCUCAUAAGGUUCUCAUCUUCGUGGCUGGAACUCAUCUUAUUUCCUUUUUCAAGGGUGAUAAGAACUUGGAUUAUAACUUAACUUUUCUCUUUUUUCAAGAAUAUGCCCUUUUCGGUGGUUUCUCGAUGGAGAAAGCAGAACUUUGGAUGGGAAGUUUCCCACAGACGACACCAAUCUGUUGACCUCACAAAUUGGAGCCUCCACGUGACCAAUCGAUAGCUACUCUACGUAUUCUUCCUUGGGCACAAUCAACACACGGUUAGAUGCACAUGGCCGGGGCCAGCGGGGGUAGCGGCAAUCGCAUACACUCCGACAAUCAAGUUAACUCCAGAUGAUUGGAAUAGUACCAAGGUUGUGUAAAAGGGUAGGGAGGAGAAUAUAUAUUUACUUGUUAUGGAGAGCUAAGUUGUAAGAGUUUCAUUACCUUUGCCUCUUGUCAAACUUUGGGUAUUUAUAGUUGAGGAGAAUCGUUGGAUGUGGGACACAUGUAUGUAUCUGACAGUGUGAGGCGUCUGCUCAUAGGCGUCAAUCAGCUGCGUCGGUAAUUACUUUUCCCGAGUUGAGUUGACAUAAGUUGAUAUGUUACAUCAAUUAGGCUCAUGGAGACAUCAAAUUAAUUAAACCUUUGGGGGCAGAAAAGAUCUUGACACGGAUCUCUUUCUGAAAGUGGUGGCGAAUCCUCUAAUAGAGAACCUUGGAAUGUAUUGCGCCUCGGCUUCAGGGUCGAGAACGCUUCGGUCGGUUCAGUAGAUUGUCUGUACCUCGCAAUACGUUAGCUGAUCGACAACAUUGGUGGUGGCAUCACUUCGAAACCACUUCGGGUAGGUGUUGAACACCUCGUAUAACGAGGUGGUAGACUUUUCGAAGUGGUUCGGAUAAGGGCGUAACAGAAGACAUAAUUGAAUUGCAUAUGUCAAAAGAGAUUCUUUCAGAUGGCUUACAGAAGGUAAUAAAAGAGAUUGAUUACAUUUUGGUAGAUGUGAAGAAGAUGAUGGACAUGAACGACAUAGAAGGUUCAUCAAAGUUAAGUUCCAAUAACAAGAGUACUGUAGUGGGUAAGCCUAAACUGACCAAACUGCAAAGAUCAAACCAACUAAUCUCUAUAGUACAUUUCUUUGUUAAAAUCCAUCACAUUUGCACUUCAUAACUACCAAUUUACUGUUAUUAGUUACAUGUUAUUUAUGUAAAAUCUUGCUUGAAUUACUUUUAUAUAUAUAUCUCCAUACUUGUCUAUCUACCUUGUUUAUUCUUAAAGGUCAAGGUAAUGAGAACAGAGAUUUGUAUGUCUAAAAAAUCCAUAUGACAUCAAAAUGUAAAUUAAAGGUUGGAUGGUAAACUUGAAUUUAUCUAUGGCAAAGAAGAAAGUUUAGAUUGUCCAUGUCAUGUUCUAGGCAAGAUGAAAUUGAAUUCCACUAUCAUUUUAAAUCUUGAGAAAAAAGAUAAAUUAAGGAAGUUGAAUGGCAAUUAGAAGUUAGAUACAAGUUAGUUAAAAUGUUACGUAGAAGAAAUAUUAAUUUUCUCCGUCUUUAAAAAGAAUAUGGCAAAUAACUGAAGUGACCAAUAUUUUUUAGGGUCAUUCAAUCAAAAUAUUUUCUCAAUCUUUUCAAUCUCAAUUCUAUUUCAGAAGAGGUGAAGAAGUCUAAUGAACAAAAUGACGUACAAGAUCUACAACCAAGGAAUAGAGCCGGUCCUGUAUCUUAUGGGCCCUGAGGCGAACGAUGAAAAGUAGGCCCCCCAGCGACAAAAUUCAAAGGUGUAUUAUGUGACUCAUUGCUAACUUAAAAAACUAACAUUAAAACAACAACAAAAUAUAUCAUAGAAACGAUUUAUAUUAUAAACCAUCAAACCAAAAAUUUCAAACAAUUAGUUAAAUACUAUUCGUCUUGCUGUUUUAGAGGCAAAAACAUCAAUCAAAUCUGAAUAACUUAACUGCUCAACCAUUUCUUUUUCUAUUGAUAACGUAGUUAACCCGUUUAAUCUUUCUUGCGACAUAGUUGAUCGGAGAUAGGUCUUGAUCAACUUUAAUUUCGAAAAAAUUCUUUUCGCAGAUGCAACUGUAACCGGUAUGAUUAACAAAAUUUGGUAAGUAAUAUAAGCAUUUGGAAAACAAACAUCCAAUGUCUUCAAAUAUUGUAGCACUUCAAUUGCUCUUGUUGCUUCACUUGGUAUAUAACACCUCAAGACUUGUAACUUCAAACAUAAGUCAUCCCGACUGAUGUCCGAAUGCCCAUUAUGUUGAAGAUAUUUCUCAAAAUUCAAACAAGAGUUCAACAAACUCGAAAAAGUUGCACUCCUUAACCUCUUCAAACUACACAAAAAUUCAAAUGUGUCAUCAUAUUGUUUGAAUUAUUCAAAUCGGGUCCUCAGAGAAGAUAGAGCUUGAUCAAUUAUAAAAAUAAAGUACUCAACUCUAAAAGAUUCUUCUGCCGAUUGCUUUACCUCAUCACUACCGCUUUAAUCAAAUUGUUUUUUUCUUCGAAUUAUGCGUUUUUCUAUAAAUACAGCUUCAAUUCCCAUUUCGCUUGCCUUUUUUGUCCUUCAUCUUUAGCAAUAGCAAAUCCAAUUUCUCUGUAUUCUUCAAGAAAUGAAACAAGUCAUUGCAAGAGGUCGAUAGCAUGAUCAAUAUCCAUGGAUUCCGUUUGAAGAAAUUUACUCACAAUAUUGACAGCAUGCAACAAUAUGUACCAGAUUAUCAUGCAAACAAAAACUCAAAAUUUUGAAGUUCAUGUGUUGCUAAUGACUCGGCUUCACUCUUCCCUUUAGGAUCUUCAUUACUUUCUACCAAAUCAAGUAAUGCAUCUCUUAUCUGUGCAUUUUGCUCCAUUAUAGGCUUCACACUUUCAACAUGACUUUUCCAACAUGUUCGUGACAAUGGCUUCACUGUCAAUCCUUGUAAAUUAUCUUUGAAAAUUUUUCAUCGCUUGGUAGAAGAGGAAAACAAUGUGGAGAUGCGUUGUAUCACUCCGAAGAAGGAUACAACUUUGGAACAACAGUUCACCAUAUCACAUAAUACUAGAUUUAGACUGUGAGUGCCACAUGGAGUAUAGAAAGCUCGGGGAUUCAUUUCAUGGACUCUUCUUUGCACACCUUUGUGCUUCCCGCUCAUGUUAGAUCCGUUGUCAUACCCUUGCCCUCUAAUGUCAUCAAUACUGAGAUCAAUUUUUAUCAAAGCCUUUUGAAACUCAGUUGCAAGUCCAAGUCCUGUUGUGUCAUCUACCUUCAAAAAUUCUAGCUAAUGUUCUUGAACUGUAGGUAAGUUUCCCGAAUUAUCUACAAAUUCUACAAUUAAAGAUAUUUGCUCCUCCUGACUUGUAUCUGGAGUACAAUCAAGUAUAACUACGAAAUAUUUUGCAUCUUUAACUUUCUUGACAAUUGAACUUCUCACCUGAUUAGUCAACAAUUGUAUCAACUCAUUUUGAAUUUUUUUGCCAAGAUACGUAUAUUGAAUCUCUCUUGCUUUAGCUCGCCGAAGGUGCUCUUGCAUUACUGGAUCAAAUUCACUAACCAUUUCGACCAUUUGUAAAAAUAGGCCAUUGUUCUCAACAUGUAGUCUCUCAUCAUCUCAUCGAAAUGGCAAUGUGUUUUUCGCAAGUCUUUUAACAAUAGCAAUUAUCCUUGUUAAUACAUGUCUCCAAUGUUCUCUUUCAACAUCAAUCAACAAUUCAACGCUUUUAUCAAUUGUAAUUUUUGAUCGAAACCUAUUUUCCAAUUCAAUCCAACUAGUCAUGCAACAUAAAUGCUCCUCAUUUCCUUCAAUGACUUUUAAUAGAUCGAUGCAAAUUAUGCCAAUCUUUGAAUCCAUCAUUACCUAGUUGGCCAAAUUUUAUCACAUUUAUUGGUGUUUUAAACAACUUGCAGCAAAAGCAGAAGAUCCUGUCCAUUGACACUAAAUAUACUAUCCAUCUUCUAUCAACUGUUUUCCCAUUUGGCAACAAUCGCUCAUAUUGUGAAGAAUCGAAAUGUCUAUUUGUAUAGUCUUUCGGAAACAAGAUGUCAUCAACUCUUUUUGGACCUCUUUCAACUAAGUAAUCCCUUGUUCUUUGAUCAAUAAUUUUCCAAUUCCCGGCAUCAUCCAAAUUUAGAGAAAAGCAACCCUCUUCUUCCUUAUCAUCUUCUUCAUUAUUAGAGGCGGGCUUCAUCACUUCUUCUUCCUUAUCAUCUAAUUCGUUAACAUCGGUAGGUUGACUCACUUCUUCAUCCUUAUUAUCUACUUCAUUAACUUGGAUUGGUUGAAUCUCUACUUCAUCCUCAUUCAACGCAUUCACAUUGUCACUUUUGAAGUACUUCUUAAUAUCCUCUACUUGACUUUGAAUUAAUGCAAUUUCAUUUCAUUUUCUUUUCCUCUUUUGAGCACCAGACUCGUAUUUAGGAGGCAUAGUAAUGUCCAAUGAUUAGCCUAAAAAAUAAUUACAAAAUAACUCAAUUAUCUCACAAUUAUAGUUUCCAAUAUAGUUACUAGGUACGCCUGUGCAAUUGUUCAUCCUACGAUAAGCAAUCAUAUAAGCUGACCAGGCUACAAUUAUAUAAGCCGACAAGGCUUCAAACAUUUCCAAUCUCUUCAAUAACAACUUAGGGUAAGCCAUUGCUUAUCUGAUAAGUGAAAUUUUGACGAAAAUUGUGGAAUUACACCAUUGAGAAUGAUCCCGUUUUCUAAAUUGGUGGUAAGCUAAUCUCAAUUUUUGUAUUGUGUCAACGAUGCUCUAGCAUAACAAAAAGAAACAUGUAUAAAAAUAACAAGUAUAUGAUGGAUUAAAAUGAAAGAAAAAACAAGUAUAUGAUAAAUUAUAAAACUUCAAUUUAGUUAAAACAUGGAUGUUGCUAGAUCAGAUAACCACAAUUGAAUCAGAGAACCACAAGCUUAACUAGAUUAGAAAAGGAAAAAAGUCCUUCAAUUUUCGUGUUCAUUUUAAUUUUUCUUCGUGGACCAGAUUGAUCUUAAUAAUUUUCUUUGUAACAUACUUGUUGAUUGAAGUAAGAUUAAGCAAUAAACAAGAGACUUUCACUUCACCUUGAGAAAUGAUUAAGCAAUAAACAAGAGACUUUCACUUCACCUUGAGAAAAACAUACAUGUCAGGCCAAAAUUAGCUUGACAACUAUAUACGUUCUUUCUUUUUCCAUUAGAUAUUUUCUAUUUCAAGAUAGCUAAGUAUUUUUUAUAUCUGUGUUCAUUACAUGAGUUUCUGAUAUGCCACUGGUGUGGUUCACAUAUGCCAGGAGGGUAAAAAGGUUCUGAACAAGCUAAAGGGGCAAAAAUGGAAGUUCAAGUCAUGGAGUCGCUAAAGAAAGAAGAGUCCAUGCAACCAGAGAUGGAGUCCGUGUAGCCAAGAUUUGAUUAAGAUAUAUUUGUAAUUAGGUUGAUUUGUUUUAGCAAAUUGUGAGUUGGUUAGGAGGACCUUUGCUGAAUAAGUGUGGCAUUAGUUCACCAAAAAUAAAGAGGGGGCAGAGUUUAGUCAAUCAUCCUGAAAUUUGAGGAAACUAAAAGAGAUACCAAGCCUCUUAAAUGCCUGGUAACAUGUAUCACUUUCCAUUUCUUAUUUGUAAUUUCCUCUUCAGUACAAGUGCUAUUAUCAAAUAUAGUAUUGUUUACAAUUCCACAAUUUGUUGGGUUUCUACCCAAAAACCAAUUCAUUCUUCAAUUCUGUAAUUCGUGUUCUAUCGGUUGCCUGAUAUCUACUAGUGAUGAAAUAAUUGAUCCUAGUCAGUAAUGACAACUGAUCACUAAAUAUUGCCUUUUGAAGCUGAAUACAUUUCUUUCUCUAUCACUUAAGUUUAAAGCAUUAUUCAAGAUUCCAAGUUGGACAUGUGUGACUGAUAUCUAUGCAUCAAUUUAUUGAAGAUUUAUCAAAUCAUUACGGGUACCUAGGGUUUUUUCUUGGAGCCGUAAAUCGUAAUGCUGAAUCCUUCACAUAAUGGUCUGAAAAUCAGAAUAAUAUUUUAUAUUUCAAUCUCUGAACUUAAACUUAAAUCUUGUAACUUGAAAGCUAUACGAGUACCUAUUGAGGUAGAACUAUAGAAGCGACUAAGCGAGUCAAGUGUGAAGCGGAGCGGAGUAACAGCAUCAAUUCUACAUUCACCCAAAAAUCAUUCACCGG